UACGUAGGGUGCGAGCGUUGUCCGGAAUUAUUGGGCGUAAAGCGUGCGCAGGCGGUUCGUUAAGUCAGCUGUGAAAGCCCCGGGCUCAACCUGGGAAUUGCGGUUGAAACUGGCGAACUAGAAUCUGGCAGAGGGGGGUGGAAUUCCACGUGUAGCAGUGAAAUGCGUAGAGAUGUGGAGGAACACCGAUGGCGAAGGCAGCCCCCUGGGCUGAGAUUGACGCUCAGGCACGAAAGCGUGGGGAGCAAACAGG
This 253-nucleotide ribosomal RNA is filed under the name uncultured bacterium. Its description in RNAcentral is "partial 16S ribosomal RNA". It matches the Rfam family "Bacterial small subunit ribosomal RNA", at positions 524 to 776 of the family's 1533-position model. The record is from RNAcentral.